This 440-nucleotide ribosomal RNA is filed under the name uncultured bacterium. RNAcentral's name for it is "partial 16S ribosomal RNA". It matches the Rfam family "Bacterial small subunit ribosomal RNA", at positions 338 to 795 of the family's 1533-position model. The record is from RNAcentral.
CCUACGGGAGGCAGCAGUGGGGAAUAUUGCACAAUGGGGGAAACCCUGAUGCAGCGACGCCGCGUGAAGGAAGAAGUAUUUCGGUAUGUAAACUUCUAUCAGCAGGGAAGAAAAUGACGGUACCUGCCUAAGAAGCCCCGGCUAACUACGUGCCAGCAGCCGCGGUAAUACGUAGGGGGCAAGCGUUAUCCGGAUUUACUGGGUGUAAAGGGAGCGUAGGCGGUUGAGCAAGUCAGAAGUGAAAACCCGGGGCUCAACACCGGGACUGCUUUUGAAACUGUUGAACUAGAGUGCAGGAGAGGUAAGUGGAAUUCCGAGUGUAGCGGUGAAAUGCGUAGAUAUUAGGAGGAACACCAGUGGCGAAGGCGGCUUACUGGACUGUAAAUGACGCUGAGGCGCGAAAGCGUGGGGAGCAAACAGGAUUAGAUACCCCAGUAGUC